This 509-nucleotide long non-coding RNA is filed under the name Pan troglodytes (chimpanzee). RNAcentral describes it as "long non-coding RNA NONPTRT013706". Lineage: Eukaryota; Metazoa; Chordata; Mammalia; Primates; Hominidae. The record is from RNAcentral.
UCCUGCAGCUUUCAGAGAAAUGGAAAAUUGCCUAUCUUCUAGUUUCUCUUCUUCACUUUUAUGUACAGGAAAGCCUGGUAAUCAAGGAAGGGCAGAAAACAAAGCUGAAGCACACACCCGUAAUUGCAAUUGCCUUUUAAAAAGGGUCACACAUCAUGAUCUGAUGUUUCUUCCAGUCAUUCUCACUUCUUGGCCAUUUUUUUUUCAUAGAGAUCAAUGCAAAUGGUACCAAGGGGUCUGAAAAAACAGAUAGUAAAUAUGGCGAUGUGAAACUGGCUCACCUACCAACUGGCAAUUGAAAAAAGAUGAGAUCCUGAUUAGUAGAUGGGGCAUGGAGGAAUGGCAUGCUGAAUUGAUAAAAAAUUCUCAUUGAUGAUGUCCCAGUGGAGAAUGCUGUGACAAGUGACAAUGCAUUUGAAAAAUAUGGAGGAAACAACUCCUACAAAGGCAGCAAAGUUGGCUGGUUACUAAACUAAAUUUUAUUGACAACUGGCAGACAGAUAAUGAAG